AUCGACGUCAAUAAACUUUUUCUGAACAGUAUCUGUUCUUAUCAGCUUAAUAUCUGAUACGGGUCCUAUUUGGACCCAAGAUAUUAAUCUUAUUUUUGGAAUGCGGCGUAGUGCUUGAGGUUUACCUCACCUAUGCCACGGGUUGGCCCGGUAUUGCACUGCCUCCGGGAUCGGCCCACCCCCC
This 184-nucleotide small nuclear RNA is filed under the name Ixodes scapularis (black-legged tick). RNAcentral's name for it is "U2 spliceosomal RNA". It matches the Rfam family "U2 spliceosomal RNA". Rfam says of the family: U2 is a small nuclear RNA (snRNA) component of the spliceosome (involved in pre-mRNA splicing). The record is from Rfam by way of RNAcentral. Lineage: Eukaryota; Metazoa; Arthropoda; Arachnida; Ixodida; Ixodidae.